This 783-nucleotide ribosomal RNA is filed under the name uncultured bacterium. RNAcentral's name for it is "bacterial SSU rRNA". It matches the Rfam family "Bacterial small subunit ribosomal RNA", at positions 8 to 796 of the family's 1533-position model. The record is from RNAcentral.
AGAGUUUGAUCCUGGCUCAGGACGAACGCUGGCGGCGUGCUUAACACAUGCAAGUCGAGCGGUAAGGCCCUUCGGGGUACACGAGCGGCGAACGGGUGAGUAACACGUGGGUGACCUGCCCUCCACUUCGGGAUAAGCCUGGGAAACUGGGUCUAAUACCGGAUAGGACCUUGGGAUGCAUGUCCUGGGGUGGAAAGUUUUUUCGGUGGGGGAUGGGCCCGCGGUCUAUCAGCUUGUUGGUGGGGUGAUGGCCUACCAAGGCGACGACGGAUAGCCGGCCUGAGAGGGUGAUCGGCCACACUGGGACUGAGACACGGCCCAGACUCCUACGGGAGGCAGCAGUGGGGAAUCUUGCGCAAUGGGCGGAAGCCUGACGCAGCAACGCCGCGUGGGGGAUGACGGCCUUCGGGUUGUAAACCUCUUUCGCGAUCGACGAAGCUUCCGGUUGUUCCGGGGGUGACGGUAGGUCGAGAAGAAGCACCGGCCAACUACGUGCCAGCAGCCGCGGUAAUACGUAGGGUGCGAGCGUUGUCCGGAAUUAUUGGGCGUAAAGAGCUCGUAGGCGGUGUGUCGCGUCGGCCGUGAAAACCUGGGGCUCAACUCUGGGCGUGCGGUCGAUACGGGCAUCACUUGAGUUCGGCAGGGGAGACUGGAAUUCCUGGUGUAGCGGAAAUGCGCAGAUAUCAGGAGGAACACCGGUGGCGAAGGCGGGUCUCUGGGCCGAUACUGACGCUGAGGAGCGAAAGCAUGGGUAGCGAACAGGAUUAGAUACCCCCGUAGUCC